Molecule: non-coding RNA, 5987 nt
Organism: Pelobates cultripes (western spadefoot toad)
Lineage: Eukaryota; Metazoa; Chordata; Amphibia; Anura; Pelobatidae
Source: the annotation of a GenBank genome assembly
CACUGAAUUCACUCUCCCUCUGGAGUGCGAGGGAUGUAAGUACGGGUGGGCUAUGGGGGGAAUAUGGGCAGCACGGAGUUGGAGGCCAUGCCACAAGUCACCAACAAGCUGAGCGUGCUAAUGUCGGACAUCCAAUACGCCAACAAUCAACAUUAGCCAUCUGGUACUCCGGCAGGUUAAUGGCAUUGCCAUAGUAGUGGUUAUAACUCCUGCAGCAGAGGGGUUAAACUCUGCAUGUGAAGUGUUUUAUACUAAAACAUUGAAUGUGUAGACUCCUGGUACCACGACCACUUUAUACAACUGAAGUGGUCAUGGUGCUUGGAUUAACCUAUUAAAUUCCUCUUCCCCAUGUUACCUGCAGCAAGUUAUUUUAAAAAAAUAAUCAAAUAAGAAUUGGUAUUUGUACAUUUAGUGGAAAAAAACAUAGAAGAAACCAUAAAUAUUAAUAAAGAAUUCAUAUCUAUAUUUGAAAUUAUCUACUGAAAAUGCAAACAGCGGCGUACACAUGCUUUUAUAUGUUGCGUUAAGGUGUGUUGCUUAGAAACCAGGUGAGACUUUGUUACAGAUGCAAAUUGCAGAGAGUGAAUUAAAUUGCUCAGACAGAUCCUGGGUAAAUGGAAGCGGUAUUUCUCCCAGAUGGGGGCUAGUCUGCGUCUUUAUUGAAUCAUGCUGGCUUCUCUGAAAAGGGACAUGUAUAGCUCAUACAAGGGACGAGGCAAUGAGAGAUCACAAUGUUCCCAUCGAGCCCAGCAAUUUCUCGACUCUUUCAUUGCUAGAGAAAUCUACACAGUGCCUUUAGCAGUCUGAAUUCUGCAAUAAGACACAGUUACUUCGAAUCCGCAAAAACCUAUAGCAACACUGUGUAUUGAAUAUUCCACGAUAGAUUAUAAUUACGUGGGGGAUUGUUUUUAAUUAUAAAUGCUGCCAGUAUUGAAAACGGAAAUGACAGCAACAGAUUGCAAGAAUUUUACUGAUAAGUGUUGCAUCUAAAACAGAGUGCAAGCUCUGAAGAACAGAUUACACAAUUUAAAUCAGAUUGCAAGCCUUUUGCAGACCAUAGGAUCUAGCAGUUCAGAGCACAUCGUGGGAUCUGCAAUGGGAUCUGCAAUACAUUCAUGGUUCUUUACUAACGUUAGCAUUCAAAGUGAAGUCAAAAGGAAUUUCAAAAUUUAAGGUAAAAAUAGCCGAAGUUGAAGCAUUCUCCAAUUCAGCUAUGCUUCCAAUCAGUGUUAAUUUUGGCAACUAACAAGUUUAGUAAAAUGUUAGUCGGCUAAAACUAGACUAAAAUUAAACAAUUCAGAUACCUAAAAUACGACUAAAACUAAAAUGGCAUUUUAGUCAAAAGACUAUGACUAAAACUAAAUUGAAAUUUGCCGCCACAACAGAGGGGUUGUGGAAGGGGCAAAAGAGACAGACCAGGGUUUGGGAGAGAGACACCUAGAGGGGCUGAGAGGACACAAAGAGACACAGAGGGGUUGGUUGGAGAAGAGGUAAAAGAGACAAAUAGAAGUUUUAACUAAACCCGUUAAAUUUUAGCUGUGUCGACUAAAGUCUACUGGGGAUCUAAUCGACUAAAACCAGACUAAAACUAAAACAAUUUAGAUGAUUAAAAUACAACUAAAUCUAUAAUGGAUUUUUAGUCAAAAGACUACGACUAAAACUAAAUUGAAAUUUUCCGCCAAAAUUAACCGUGCAUAGCAACACUACUUGGACCCUAUAAAUAUCUAAAUCUCACUCAACUUUACACCUAAUUUAACUACGUUUAAGUAGAGGUGACAAGUUAACAACUACAAAUUCAAACUACAUCUUAAAAAACCCAUACAUUUAUUCUAUACUUCAGGAAACAUUUUAGAAAGUUUCCUGGUAGAGUUGCCAUGACAACACCAACCUGUUUAUAGUGUCCUUGUAGAGUUGCUAAGGCGACAUAAACACAUCUUGCCACAGCAGCUCAACCAGGGCACUCUAAAUGUUCACUUAAAUGUACGAAAAAAUUGUUGUUUUUUUCUGUAACAUGUUUUGAGAGCUUGCAGUCGUUAACUUGUCUUUCCAAGUUUACAUCAAGUUAAGGCCAGUGUAAAGUUGAGCGAAAUUAACGACCACACGUGAUAAUUUUAACGAUCUAGCACGGAAACUUGGCGUUACAAGUAGAAGUAUGAGUGUAGUAUGAAUGAGUUAAUCCACGUAACCAGGCUUCAUUUGUAGCAAUUAGUUGCUCUGUCAGCUUGGUUAUAUACCUCACGUACCAUUUGUCUGUGUAAAACUCACUUAUAUUGGACUACACCACGGACUAUCUUUGGCCCUAUUUCUCUGCAGUGACGACACGGAGAGGAUACUGCAGUGGGAUAUGGGACGAUGUUAAAAAAAGAGAUGAAAAUCUGGAAGCAAUCUGUUCCCCAUCAAUACUUUGUUCGUACCGCUCCAGGAGAGCGAGGCUGCGUUGUACGGAGAACUAAUUAAGACCAGACCAAUAAGAAAAAAGUUUCUCAUCACCAUGGUAAACAAGUCUAUGAUAAACAAAGCACUUCAGCAGCCAAGAGGCUGGUCAAGUGCAUGUUCUACAAAUUCCUAAGAAACAAAUUGGUGUUUUAUUUUAGCAAAGGAAAUCGUUGAUAUCUUGGUAAACACAUUAGUCAUGUUUUUUUUCCCCCUUCCUUUUAUUAUUAUUUAUUUUAACCCUUGCCGCUGAUUGGGUUUAGAUUCGAAGUGGCCAACAGAUAAAUCUGUCUCUAGGUGUUGCGGAGUCUUCAGAAAAAGCAUCAUGGGACUUUUAGUUCCACAAUUCUUUGUCAACAGUAACCCUAGGCUGGCAGAGGAUUGUAGGAGUUACAGUUCCACAACAGCUGUCUCUGUUGGCUACCCCUUAUUUAAACUGAAACCAAAAUUGCACCAUUUCAAGGAAAACUGUCCAACAGAAAAGUAGAAAUUUACAAUAUUUAGCUCUGUCCUGGUACUAAGCGACUUCAUCUUUGCUCUGUAUGCUCUGUGUUCGUUUUGGCGUCAAUUUUAGUCUAGUUUUAGUCGACUGAAUCUCCAGUAGAUUUUAGUCAACACAACUAAAAUCUAAUGGGUUUAGUUAAAUUCUCUAUCUGUCUCUUUUGCCCCUUCCCCAGCCCUUCUGUGUCUCUUUGUGCCUUCCCAGCUCCAAUAGGUGUCUCUCUCCCAAGCCCCGGUCUGUCUCUUUUGCCCCUUCCACAGCCCCUCUGUGUCUCUUUGUGUCCUCCCAACCCCUCUAGGCAGUGGCGUACACACGACCCAUGGGGCCCCGGUGCGAAAAUUGAUCCGUGGGCCCCCCCCCGUGCUUACUCUGCGCGGGCCGGGGCCGCAACACAUGGCGGCGGGCACCCUGCAACCGCGCUAUGUACGCCAAUGCAUGCAGAUGCACGCACACUUAAAGGACCACUACAGGCACCCAGAUCACAUCAGCUCAAUGAAGUGGUCUGGGUGCCAGGUCCCUCUAGUUUUAACCCUGCAGCUGAAAACAUAGCAGUUUCAGAGAAACUGCAAUGAUUCACUGAGGGUUAAUCCAGCCUCUAGUGGCUGUCUCACUGACAACCGCUAGAGGAGCUUCUGCGAUUCUCACUGUGAAAAUCACAGUGAGAAGACACUCUAGUCCAUAGGAAAGCAUUGUGUAAUGCUUUCCUAUGGGUGGUUUGAAUGCGCGCGCAGCCCUUGCCACGCAUGCGCAUUCGGAGCUGAGAGGCGGAGGGUUCCCCACACACACAAACACACUCAGAAACAGAAACACUCAGUAACACACUCACUGACACUCACUAGCAGACACACACUCAAUAACAGACACACAAAUUAACACACUCACUGACACUCACUAGCAGGCACACACUCAAUAACAGACACACAUAAACUAACACACUCACUGACAUUCAGUAGCAGACACACAUACACACUAACACACACACACACUAACACAUACACAACUAACACACACACACACACACUAACACACGAACACACACACACAUGUUUUUUUUUAUUUAAUCCCUCAGCCUCCUUACCUUUGGGAGAGCUGAGGGGAUUCCCUGGGGUCCAGUGGUGUUGCUGGCCCUGGUGUCACCCGGCGGAUGGGCUGGCGGGCGCGCGAGGGAGCACUCUCCCCUGAGUGCUCCCUGUUCAGCUCCCUUGCACGCCGCGUACUGAUACCGGAGCCGGAAUAUGAUGUCAUAUUCCGGCUCCGGCAUCAGUAUGCGGCACGCGAGGGAGCUGUCCAGAGAGCGCUCAGCCAGGGAGAGUGCUCCAUCGCACGCGCGCCAGCCUGUCCGCCGGGUGAUACCAAGGCCAGCCUCAGGGGGCCCUGAGGUUGCCAGCUCCUGGGCCCCCCAGGAGAAGAGGCUGGCCACACUGGGUACAUACCGGUCGCAGUUGCGACCCAUGCGACCCCGGUAUGUACGCCACUGCCUCUAGGUGUCUCUCUCCCAAGCCCCGGUCUGUCUCCUUUGCCCCUUCCAUAGCCCCUCUGUGUCUCUUUGUGUCCUGCCAGCCCCUAUAGGUGUCUCUCUCUUUUACUCCUUGCACAGCCUCUUUGUGCAGCGUUAAUUUUGGCGUUUUAGUCAUAGUCUUUUGACUAAAUAUCGAUUUUAGUUUUAGUCUUAUUUUAGUCAUCUUAAUUUUUUAGUUUUAAUCUAGUUUUAGUCGACUAAAUCUCUUUAGUUUGACUAAAAUUGUUAGGUGACAAAAUUAACACUGCUCUGUAUCAGUCGUUGUAUAAACUCUGCCCAAUAUUUCUACAAUAUAUCUAGAAUAAUGAUCCUGAUGUAGCCAAGACCUCUUUGGGUUUAGGAAGUCUGGGACAGUGUAUCUAAGUUCUAGCCAAGAAGUGGAUCAUUAAUAGCCAGGGGAAAUUACUGAGAUUUGCCCUCUCUUAAACCAAUCACUACUCCCUAGUAAAACUCUAAACCCUAUUAAAAGUUCUGGCUAUGGAACACAUGACAAAAUAUAUUUGAUCAGUCCAGAGCCACUCAGAAUUCACUGAGAACUGCUUAGAUUCCUGUGAUGUUAUUUACGCAACAACCCAGAAUCCCAGCGAGCAGUCGUGAUCAGACCUUAAGUACCUGACUUUCACAUGCACCAUAUUUUCUGGGCUAUGAAAUCAUACACACAAAAAAAUCAUAAUAUCCAAACUUUAUCAUUGGUGUUUCAAAAACAUAGCAUUAAAUGAACACUAUUAACAGCCAAACAAUUUUAGCUUAAUUAAGUGGUUUUGAUUUAUAGAUCAUGCCCCUACAGUCUCAAUGCUCAAAUUUCUGUAAUUUAGUAGCUGGAUCACUUUGUUUAUGCUGUCAUACCUCCCCUGCUUGUCACCAACAUAAUUACCCUAAAAGAGAGAUCUACUGUUUAAUCCUCCCUUAUUGUACAGUGUGUUUAAUUUAGAAUUUCUUAUCUCUUGCUCAGUUAAUAGCCUUUUAGAGUCUACUGAAGCCACAUGUGUGAUUAAAGUUCAAUUAACAGAGCAGAAAUUAAGAACCUCUAAACUAAACAUACUGUGCUCUCACAUAUGAUUGAAAAUUAAACCAUAUUUUCACGCAGGCUUUGUCAGUCACAGCCAGGGGAGGUGUGGCUGGGGCUGCAUAAACAGGAAAAAAAGUGAUUUAACUCUUAGAUAACAGAGAAUUGAGCAGUGAGACUGCAGGGGCAUGAUCUAUACACUAAAACUGGGGACUAUGGUGUCCAUUUAAUUUCUGCCCCAUUGUGUUGGUGGAUAUCAAAAGGGUUAAUCAGUAAAAAAACAAUACUUUUCCUUUCUCUUCCAGGCUCUCUCAGCACCUUGGAUGGAAAUAUGCCUGGCAUGCUCCAAAGAGAUCAUUUAUAAUUGGCAAGCGAUGAAGGCUGGAUAACGCCAACUUGUACAAGCAAAACAAUUCUCUUUAACUGAAUGUUUCUGUUUUCUUUAUCCCUUGUGUCUAACUUUUAGUUGGAGAACACUCUUGACAAUUGAGACCAUGGCAAGCUCCAACCAGGAGAACAUCUCAGAA